AUGCCAUCGGUACCACGGUGUCCCCCUCACCCCCCUCUGCCACCCCCAGGCCGACAAUACCAAGAAGGUGACAAGGGUCCCUGGAAGUCUCAUGCUGCCAGUGCGAGUGUGGACUGCUGCAACCACUUUGGAGGAAUAUUCAGCAGGUCUACAGAAGCUACAUCACAGGGGAUGCCCCGGCAAUGCCUGGCAGAAACAUCAUGCACGACCCUCUCUGUCCCCCCAUUCCACUCUGAGCUCCAUGGCGGUGCCCUAGCUUCAGCACCGUCCCUGGCCCAGAGGAGCUGCUCAAUAAACCCUUGCUGAGUGACAACCAGGUGGCGCACAAUGAACGGAAGGUGGGGCCCAAAGCCACGGUGGAAGAAGAAUCACGGCCCUCUCUGGUUUACAAGCCCUUUCAAAGCUGCCUGAAGAACCCCAUGAAGAAAGCAGUGGGGAGAGCUCCUGGUAAGGAGCCCCAUUUCCUAGACAAAGAAACUGAGGUCAGAGGGGUUAAGAGCCGUGGCCCAGGUCACGCGGGGAGUGGGUGACCCUCCCCAGCGCACCUCAGCCCCCUGGGGAGGCAGCGCACGGCAUCAGCAGCCACCUCCGCCUCCUCCAGCCCCCAGUCCUUCGGUGCCAGGCAAAUCCCACCCUCUCCGGACGCAACGUGGGCGGCCCCAGCCAUUCAUCUUAUAUUUACCGGGCACCUCUCUAAGGGCAGGGAAAGGGCCCUGAACAAGAUGGGCACGGUCCUGGCCCGUCCAUGGGGCUGCCCCUCUUUGGGAAGAGGGGCAGAUAAUAAGCUGAUACACAAAUGAAUAAAUCAGGUGAGCGCAGAAGGUGGCUAACGCCCUGAGAAAAAUUAAGCAAGGUGAUAUCCAGUGAGUGAGCAAUUAGCAGCUAAUUAGCCUCAUCUCAGACCCUGGAGGAAGAAGGUGAGGACAGAGCUAGUGGGGAAACUCUCCAGAACACCAAACAGCACCGAACAGCACAGUCCACUUGACUCCCACCCCGGAAGCAGGGGCUGAGUGGCUCAAAGAGGGGAGAGGGCACUGGGCUGAGAACGAGGAGGCGCCUCAGACCCCCACCCUGUUCUUAGGCAGUACAGGACCUCAGGAAGCCGUGACUCCCCCCUUAGGACCCCAGAGUCUCCCUCUGGACAGUGGGUGUGGGACAUGGCCAUCCUCUUCUCCAGCUGCUGCCUGCCAAGAUCCUAGGGUGACCCAGCCUCCGGGCUCCCAAGGAGCCCAUCCUGUGUCCUACAGGGGGGCUGGGCAGGACAGGAGGGGAUAUCCUGCCCCCUUUCUGAGGCCAAUUCUCCAAAGGAGAGGGAGCUGGAUUCCUAAAAUGAUUGCCCCUGAUCCAGCAGCCCCUGUAAGGGUUGGGGGUUGGGGGUUGGGGGGGAGAAAAAGGGGGGAGUUCCAUCGGGCAGCUGGGACCCUGGGCUGAGGGCUUCUCAGUAGGAGACCUUGCCUGGGGACAAUGCUCCCUGCUUUGACAGGAGUGAAGGAAUUCUUAGAGAAUGUUCUUCUGUUUUUCCGUCACUCCUUAGAGCCCUGUGAGGCCCGCCCAAGGUGCAGGGAAUGGGAAGACAAUCGGAUCUACCAUCCCUCAUGGUGUCCUCCUCACCGGGGUGGAACGUUCCCACUCAGGACACUGCACUUUGAACAGUCUAGAAGGCUUCUGAGGCUCUUCUCUCCAAGGAGGAUGCAGGAGAGGGAGCAGCAGGCUGGCCUGAGAAAACCCCAGAAGGAAUCCUAAAUGCCCUCAUCGGGCUGGUGGGUAUUCCCAGGAACAACGAUACUGACAGUUAACAGUGACCGAGUGCUUGUCACCAGACCAGUCCCAGUGCUGGCACGUGAGCCCUUUGUUGCCUAAUUUAAUCCUCACAACUCCCUUGAAAUAAAUACACAAUUACCCUAAAAGAUUACAAAGGUAUACCGAGUAUUGUUCUUACUACUUUACACGUAUAGAAACUGAGGCUCUAUCCCUGGCCCUCCUCUGUCCCUGAGUUUUUAAAUUUUCAUGGCCCCUGGGAGGGGGGGUACCUUGAAACACCACACAUGCCAUUCAUGAAGCGCGCCCCACUUUGCAGAACCCCUGUGCCCGGCUGCAGCCUCCCAGCAGCCCUAUAAACUGUAAUGUGUCAUAGUUUGCUUCAUUUUACAGAUGGAAAAACCCCCGAGCCCAGUGAGUGAGAAGGCACACAAACAGGAAGUAGUAGCAGAGGGCAAGGAGAAUCCAAGUGUCAACGUUCUCAGUCCCUGGUUCUUUCCAUGGCCAGACCUGCGGGGGGGGGGGGGGGGGCAAGGGGGACCCCUCCCACCGCCGCCAGCGAGGCUGCCUGCCUGGGGCAAUACCAGAGCACACUGGGCCCUACGUCAGAGGGAUUGCAAUAAAACCACUCCUUUAUGUUUGCACCCAGCCUCCAGGCGCACAGGUCCUUGACCAUCAGCCCAUUUUACAGAUAAGCACGGGGAGGCUGGGGGCGGGGGAAGAGUGGCCCCGCAGCUCACUGCUGGGUGAACAUUCAGACCCAGGUCUCCCAAAGCUGCCCAACAAGACUGGCCACAGCCAGGCUGCAGCUGCUGAAGGUUACAAAGGGGUUCCUCCCCCCAGUUACUGAAGCUGUGGGUACCCCAAGGAACAGAAAAAGCACUCCACCCAUGGGUGACAGCCCACACCCCUAAGGCAAGCAAAAACUAAGGGCAGACAAAACAAAGGGCCGCUCAUAAUUCUCCCAGAUCCUUCGCCGGUGUCACUCUCCCCAAAUACAGAACAGGGCUGGGAGAAUCACAGGCAGCAGGAUGAGCCCUCAACUGGCUACCAGAGCCCCGGGGUCCAGUUCCCACUUGUGAUCUUGGGCAAAUCACAGCCCCCUUCCAAGGAGCCCCUCUCCAAGGAGCUUGUCCAAGAAGGGGGGGGCAGAGGGCGGGGCUGAGGGAUGGGAUGGGAUGCGAAGAGCGGAGUAAGACACCUCUAGUCUCAGAAAAGCAGGGCUGCAGGGAAACGGAAAGGAAUCAGGAGCUUCGCUCUUUCUCUCUCCCCAUGUCCCCCCACCCCACCCCCUUAACCACAAAGGUGCCAGACAGCUUUUGCGAAAAAACUAGUUUGCAAACACACUUCGACUUCUGGGAAGCUGCCCAGCUCCACUCCCUCCC
Molecule: long non-coding RNA, 3143 nt
Organism: Zalophus californianus (California sea lion)
Lineage: Eukaryota; Metazoa; Chordata; Mammalia; Carnivora; Otariidae
Source: Ensembl